UACGUAGGGUGCAAGCGUUGUCCGGAAUUAUUGGGCGUAAAGAGCUUGUAGGCGGUUUGUCGCGUCUGCUGUGAAAUUUCGGGGCUCAACCCCGAACUUGCAGUGGGUACGGCAGACUAGAGUGUGGUAGGGGAGACUGGAAUUCCUGGUGUAGCGGUGAAAUGCGCAGAUAUCAGGAGGAACACCGAUGGCGAAGGCAGGUCUCUGGGCCAUAACUGACGCUGAGAAGCGAAAGCAUGGGGAGCGAACAGG
This 252-nucleotide ribosomal RNA is filed under the name uncultured bacterium. RNAcentral describes it as "partial 16S ribosomal RNA". It matches the Rfam family "Bacterial small subunit ribosomal RNA", at positions 524 to 776 of the family's 1533-position model. The record is from RNAcentral.